UGUUCCUGUACAAACUGCCGCAAAACUAA
This 29-nucleotide small RNA is filed under the name Bombyx mori (domestic silkworm). RNAcentral describes it as "ovarian small RNA-36095". The record is from RNAcentral. Lineage: Eukaryota; Metazoa; Arthropoda; Insecta; Lepidoptera; Bombycidae.